UUAAGUUAUUAAGGGCGCACGGUGGAUGCCUUGGCACUAGAAGCCAAUGAAGGACGUUACUAACGACGAUAUGCUUUGGGGAGCUGUAAGUAAGCUUUGAUCCAGAGAUUUCCGAAUGGGGAAACCCAGCAUGAGUUAUGUCAUGUUAUCGAUAUGUGAAUACAUAGCAUAUCAGAAGGCACACCCGGAGAACUGAAACAUCUUAGUACCCGGAGGAAGAGAAAGAAAAUUCGAUUCCCUUAGUAGCGGCGAGCGAAACGGGAAGAGCCCAAACCAACAAGCUUGCUUGUUGGGGUUGUAGGACACUCUAUACGGAGUUACAAAGGACGACAUUAGACGAAUCAUCUGGAAAGAUGAAUCAAAGAAGGUAAUAAUCCUGUAGUCGAAAAUGUUGUCUCUCUUGAGUGGAUCCUGAGUACGACGGAGCACGUGAAAUUCCGUCGGAAUCUGGGAGGACCAUCUCCUAAGGCUAAAUACUCUCUAGUGACCGAUAGUGAACCAGUACCGUGAGGGAAAGGUGAAAAGCACCCCGGAAGGGGAGUGAAAUAGAACCUGAAACCGUGUGCUUACAAGUAGUCAGAGCCCGUUAAUGGGUGAUGGCGUGCCUUUUGUAGAAUGAACCGGCGAGUUACGAUUUGAUGCAAGGUUAAGCAGUAAAUGUGGAGCCGUAGCGAAAGCGAGUCUGAAUAGGGCGUUUAGUAUUUGGUCGUAGACCCGAAACCAGGUGAUCUACCCUUGGUCAGGUUGAAGUUCAGGUAACACUGAAUGGAGGACCGAACCGACUUACGUUGAAAAGUGAGCGGAUGAACUGAGGGUAGCGGAGAAAUUCCAAUCGAACCUGGAGAUAGCUGGUUCUCUCCGAAAUAGCUUUAGGGCUAGCCUCAAGUGAUGAUUAUUGGAGGUAGAGCACUGUUUGGACGAGGGGCCCCUCUCGGGUUACCGAAUUCAGACAAACUCCGAAUGCCAAUUAAUUUAACUUGGGAGUCAGAACAUGGGUGAUAAGGUCCGUGUUCGAAAGGGAAACAGCCCAGACCACCAGCUAAGGUCCCAAAAUAUAUGUUAAGUGGAAAAGGAUGUGGCGUUGCCCAGACAACUAGGAUGUUGGCUUAGAAGCAGCCAUCAUUUAAAGAGUGCGUAAUAGCUCACUAGUCGAGUGACACUGCGCCGAAAAUGUACCGGGGCUAAACAUAUUACCGAAGCUGUGGAUUGUCCUUUGGACAAUGGUAGGAGAGCGUUCUAAGGGCGUUGAAGCAUGAUCGUAAGGACAUGUGGAGCGCUUAGAAGUGAGAAUGCCGGUGUGAGUAGCGAAAGACGGGUGAGAAUCCCGUCCACCGAUUGACUAAGGUUUCCAGAGGAAGGCUCGUCCGCUCUGGGUUAGUCGGGUCCUAAGCUGAGGCCGACAGGCGUAGGCGAUGGAUAACAGGUUGAUAUUCCUGUACCACCUAUAAUCGUUUUAAUCGAUGGGGGGACGCAGUAGGAUAGGCGAAGCGUGCGAUUGGAUUGCACGUCUAAGCAGUAAGGCUGAGUAUUAGGCAAAUCCGGUACUCGUUAAGGCUGAGCUGUGAUGGGGAGAAGACAUUGUGUCUUCGAGUCGUUGAUUUCACACUGCCGAGAAAAGCCUCUAGAUAGAAAAUAGGUGCCCGUACCGCAAACCGACACAGGUAGUCAAGAUGAGAAUUCUAAGGUGAGCGAGCGAACUCUCGUUAAGGAACUCGGCAAAAUGACCCCGUAACUUCGGGAGAAGGGGUGCUCUUUAGGGUUAACGCCCAGAAGAGCCGCAGUGAAUAGGCCCAAGCGACUGUUUAUCAAAAACACAGGUCUCUGCUAAACCGUAAGGUGAUGUAUAGGGGCUGACGCCUGCCCGGNUUGUACAUUGAAAACUAGAUAAGUAAGUAAAAUAUAGAUUUUACCAAGCAAAACCGAGUGAAUAAAGAGUUUUAAAUAAGCUUGAAUUCAUAAGAAAUAAUCGCUAGUGUUCGAAAGAACACUCACAAGAUUAAUAACGCGUUUCCUGUAGGAUGGAAACAUA
RNAcentral lists this ribosomal RNA (2029 nucleotides) under Staphylococcus aureus. Its description in RNAcentral is "bacterial LSU rRNA". It matches the Rfam family "Bacterial large subunit ribosomal RNA", at positions 3 to 1921 of the family's 2925-position model. Lineage: Bacteria; Bacillati; Bacillota; Bacilli; Caryophanales; Staphylococcaceae. The record is from RNAcentral.